Molecule: ribosomal RNA, 512 nt
Filed under: uncultured bacterium
Lineage: Bacteria
Description: bacterial SSU rRNA
Rfam family: Bacterial small subunit ribosomal RNA
Source: RNAcentral
AACGAACGCUGGCGGCAGGCUUCAUACAUGCAAGUCGAACGAUUAAAGCUCCUUCGGGAGUGUAUAAAGUGGCGAACGGGUGAGUAACAGGUGGGUAAUCUGCCUUUCGGUGGGGGACAACGGUUGGAAACGACCGCUAAUACCGCAUUCGAUUGCUCUGUCAUAAGACUAGGCAAGGAAAGACGCGUUUGCGUCGCCGAAAGAUGAGCCCGCCCCCCAUUAGCUUGUUGGUGUGAUAACAGCGCACCAAGGCUUCGAUGGGUAGCCGAGCUGAGAGGUUGAUCGGCCACACUGGAACUGAGACACGGUCCAGACACCUACGGGUGGCAGCAGUAGGGAAUAUUGCGCAAUGGGCGAAAGCCUGACGCAGCCAUGCCGCGUGGAUGAUGAAGGCCUUCGGGUCGUAAAGUCCUUUUCUGAGGGAAGAACAAGCGAGGUAGGAAAUGAUCUCGCCCUGACGGUACCUCAGGAAUAAGCAACGGCAAACUCCGUGCCAGCCGCCGCCGUAACAC